UUUUGACAUAAACAUUUUAUGUAUGAAAGAAUUGAGUGGAUGCAAUAUAACUUGAGGAAAAUUCCAGUUUAUAAAAUGUUCUUAUCGACUUUGAAAGACAUCAGAAACCUAAAUAAAAAACUCAUGGCUUUAGUAGUUGAAGUAUAUUGACCUCAGCAGAAUUAAAAUAUUAAAUGCCAUGCUUCCCAAUAUUGCAUUCGUGCUACGAAAUUGAAUAUGGAUGAUUACUCGGAAAUGGAAAUUUGAUGUAUCUUGAAUUCAUUAAUCUUGGAAUGUAAAAUAUAAGAUGAAAUCAUCAAACAUAAACUCGAAGAGUAUAUCGUUUUCAGUAAGGAAGGCCACUUCCAAUUUUCUUUUCUUUUUUUUUAAAACUUAGCCUCAGCCCGUACUGCUAAUAAUUUAUAUCACAUCCCUCCAAUUGAACCAUCAUUAUCUUCUUCUUAGCUUCACGAGUUCGGCUUUCUAUUUCACCAAAAAACUUUCUUGCUUUUUGACAAAUUCGUAAGUCAUUCUCAGCGACAGAUAUAGUCUCGCGCUGCUUAUCCCAUUGUUGGUGAAACAUUCUUCGUAAAUCAUUCAACGGAAUAUUGAGAACUUUACGACUCUCUGUACCUAUCCAAAUACUAGCAUUGUGACAAAAAUCUGUCUCCCUUAAAGAUUUUUUUAUCUUUUCCGCAACUUUAAGAGGAAGUGCUCUAGGUAUAUCGUAAAUAACAUACCCAAAAACGCAAAUACUUGCUAAACCAAGUACCGGGACCAAUAAGUGUUGAAGCGAGUUAUUUUGAAAAUAUUUAAAUAUUGGAUAACCAAGAUUUCCAGUAAAUGCACCAAGCGUUGUAAAUGAAGGGGUUGUUUUUCCAAGGACCAAGAGAAUAGUACUCAAUGAAGCGCUCCAGGUUCCUAAUCUCUCAGUAAGGUCUAGAUCUAUAAAAUCAAGCAAGCCAAGUUCAAAUCGAAAAUGCUUCUGCAGUUGCAAUCUAUGUUUCUUAAUAAACAUUUGGUUGGCAUGAAAGACUGGAAGGACGGCGGAGUCAAAAUUAUCUUUUACAUCUUUUUGAAUACAUAAGACAGCUUCUUCGGUCCUCUUUCGAGCAUAAUCUUCUGACUCCAACAAUUUUUCUUCUAAAUAUUGUUGCAUGGCGUCUCUUACGGAUAUCGCAUACUGGUAGGCAAAGAAAAAACCAGAAUACUUGACAGAAGCAAAAGAACCUAAUGAGUCAAUAGCAUCUUCUAAUUCGGAAUGUGUAUGCUGAGAAAUAGAUUGCACAGUCGCUUCAACUAAAGAUUCAUUCUUCUGAUAGGUAAAUUGCUGCUCAUGUUUUACCUUACGAAAUUUUGGAGAAAGAUCCGUCAAACGUUGUUGCAAGUGAUUAAUAUCAAAAUCGAUAAGUUUUAUGUUAUAUUCGCAGAUAUUAAGUAUAUCACCGACUAACCCUGACAAGUAUCUACGUACCGGGGCAAGUUUAGAUUUUGAGCGAUUUUCGAGAAUGAAGCUACGGAGAGAGUUUUCCAUCUGAAAAAAAGAAGAAUAUAGAGCAUCCUCUCGAUUAUUUGGAUCACGAGCGACACGACAGCUCACAAAAUGUACCAAGUCUUUAGCGUCAGCAAAAGUACCAGGAGAAAGGGUAUGAAUUUGUUCAAGGAUCAAUCGUUUACAUCUCUCUUUAUCUCUGAUGUUAUCAAAUUUGUUCACAAUAAUGAAAAUGUGGGAUUUCUCAGUGGAGGCGUUUCUUAAGAAAUCUGUAGCAGAAAGGGUAAAAUGAUUUUCAGCGUUUACAACGAAAACGACAACGUCAAUUUCCUCUUGGCAAGCAAAUACUGAAGUUGUCUUCAUGGAAUCAGUAUUCAAGCCAGGAGCAUCAAUAAGUGCAAUAUCUGUAAUUCCAUUGUGAAGCAAACUCUCAUGUGCCGGUCUUCCAUCAUUGACAUAUACAAUUAGCAUGCUCCAAUUUUCCGUCUCAUAAACAAGGCGUUUCAAAUCCUCGAUUGGAAAAACUUUAUAUGUUGAAGAGUCAGUAUGACUAUACGUGAGUCCAUGAGGAAUAGCGUGAACACAAUCUUUUCCAUCAUUGAGUUCAGCAUCGUGCACUUCACAAAAUACCUCAGUACAAGGUUGUUGAUCUUCUGGUAGAAUGUCUUUGUGUACCAAAGCAUUGCAAAGGGUCGAUUUACCUGCGUUUAAAUCCCCGGUGAUAAGGAUUUUCGAAGAGGUAUCUUCUACUCUAGAAAAAAGUGAAAAGAGAUGCUUAUUUGCUUUCUCUAUGUGUACUUUUAGUAGAGAUUCAUGAGCUUCCUCGCCCAAUUGACUGAUUAAUUUUUCAUCAGCAGUCGACGACGACCGCAGUGAUAGAUCAAUGGUGAUCACAUUCAUUUUGGACGGACUAAAUGGAUAGUAAUUUCCUGAAAAUUUAGAUUUUUCUUUAUCGGUUCUCCAAACACUGUGGAACAAACAGUCAGAUCGAUCUACAUAAUUAUCCAGUUCAUUUAACAGAUUUUGAAUAAUAUGGAUGGAUCUUAACAAUUGGUUCCUAUUUUGGUUAUACUCGAACUGAUGACGAUUAGUUUCAUCUUUAUACUGCUGAAUAUUGUUUGAAGUAUAUCCAUUAUUUAAUCUUCCCGAUUCACCAUUCUGUUCGGCUACUGAUAAUUGCCUUGCACUCUUCUCCAUAUCAUUUAAAGUUGAAUUUUGCGUUUAUAUAAUUGAACUUGAUCCCUAAAGAUUGGAAAUUUCAUGCAAAGAGCAACUUCCUUAAAAAUUAAUACAUAUGCGUUGCAACCAUAUACUGUUUGCAUAACACCUUAGUACGAAUAAUGAAAAAAAAUGGGAGCAACAUAUUAGUAGAUGAAUAUGAGAAAAUAAA
Molecule: non-coding RNA, 2861 nt
Organism: Schizosaccharomyces pombe (fission yeast)
Lineage: Eukaryota; Fungi; Ascomycota; Schizosaccharomycetes; Schizosaccharomycetales; Schizosaccharomycetaceae
Source: the annotation of a GenBank genome assembly